GACGAACCGUGCGAACGUUAUUCGGAAUCACUGGGCUUAAAGCGCGUGUAGGCGGGCGGCACGUCGGUCGCUGAAAGCCCCCGGCUCAACCGGGGAAGUGGCGCCGAUACGACCGCCCUGGAGGGACGUAGGGGGACCUGGAACUUCCGGUGGAGCGGUGAAAUGCGUUGAGAUCGGAAGGAACGCCCGUGGCGAAAGCGAGGUCCUGGACGUUUACUGACGCUGAGACGCGAAAGCCAGGGGAGACCGAACGGG
Molecule: ribosomal RNA, 255 nt
Filed under: uncultured bacterium
Lineage: Bacteria
Description: partial 16S ribosomal RNA
Rfam family: Bacterial small subunit ribosomal RNA
Source: RNAcentral